GGAAUUUUCCGCAAUGGGCGAAAGCCUGACGGAGCAAUACCGCGUGAGGGAUGACGGCCUAUGGGUUGUAAACCUUUUUUCUCAGGGAGGAAAUCAAUGACGUACCUGAGGAAUAAGCAUCGGCUAACUCCGUGCCAGCAGCCGCGGUAAUACGGGAGUGGCAAGCGUUAUCCGGAAUUAUUGGGCGUAAAGCGUCCGCAGGCGGUCUGUCAAGUCUGCUGUUAAAGCGUGGAGCUUAACUCCAUUUCGGCAGUGGAAACUGACAGGCUAGAGUGUGGUAGGGGCAGAGGGAAUUCCCGGUGUAGCGGUGAAAUGCGUAGAUAUCGGGAAGAACACCAGUGGCGAAGGCGCUCUGCUGGGCCAUCACUGACGCUCAUGGACGAAAGCCAGGGGAGCGAAAGGGAUUAGAUACCCCAGUAGUC
RNAcentral lists this ribosomal RNA (422 nucleotides) under uncultured cyanobacterium. RNAcentral's name for it is "bacterial SSU rRNA". It matches the Rfam family "Bacterial small subunit ribosomal RNA", at positions 358 to 795 of the family's 1533-position model. The record is from RNAcentral. Lineage: Bacteria; Bacillati; Cyanobacteriota.